Molecule: ribosomal RNA, 253 nt
Filed under: uncultured bacterium
Lineage: Bacteria
Description: partial 16S ribosomal RNA
Rfam family: Bacterial small subunit ribosomal RNA
Source: RNAcentral
UACGUAGGGUGCAAGCGUUAAUCGGAAUUACUGGGCGUAAAGCGUGCGCAGGCGGUGAUGUAAGACAGUUGUGAAAUCCCCGGGCCCAACCUGGGAACUGCAUCUGUGACUGCAUCGCUGGAGUGCGGCAGAGGGGGGUGGAAUUCCGCGUGUAGCAGUGAAAUGCGUAGAUAUGCGGAGGAACACCGAUGGCGAAGGCAAUCCCCUGGGCCUGCACUGACGCUCAUGCACGAAAGCGUGGGGAGCAAACAGG